RNAcentral lists this unclassified non-coding RNA (186 nucleotides) under air metagenome. RNAcentral describes it as "partial contains small subunit ribosomal RNA, internal transcribed spacer 1, and 5.8S ribosomal RNA". The stretch from base 1 to 46 matches the Rfam family "Eukaryotic small subunit ribosomal RNA", at positions 1786 to 1831 of the family's 1831-position model. The record is from RNAcentral.
AAGUCGUAACAAGGUCUCCGUAGGUGAACCUGCGGAGGGAUCAUUACUGAAUGGCCUUCAACCUUGCAAACCUGUGGAAGCAAGAUGUGCUUCGGCGCUUCGGCGCCGCUUUUAUGCUUUAACCAGUCUUUGUGUCUGAAUCAAACAUGAGAAAUAAAACUUUCAACAAAGGAUCUCUUGGCUCUC